This 915-nucleotide ribosomal RNA is filed under the name uncultured marine archaeon. Its description in RNAcentral is "bacterial SSU rRNA". It matches the Rfam family "Archaeal small subunit ribosomal RNA", at positions 1 to 921 of the family's 1478-position model. The record is from RNAcentral.
UUCCGGUUGAUCCUGCCGGAGGCUACCGCUAUUGGAGUUCGAUUAAGCCAUGCGAGUCGCGAGAAAUUAGAUUCUCGGCGUACCGCUCAGUAACACGUGGGUAACCUGCCCUAUGCUGGAUAAUAACCUCGGGAAACUGAGAAUAAUGAUCCAUAGUUCACUACGCCUGGAACGGUGAGUGGAUGAAAGCUCCGGCGGCAUAGGAUGGGCCUGCGGCGUAUCAGGUUGUAGGGGGUGUAACGUACCCUCUAGCCCUCUACGCGUACGGGUGUUGGGAGACAUAGCCCGGAGAUGGAUUCUGAGACACGAAUCCAGACCCUACGGGGUGCAGCAGGCGCGAAAACUUGGCAAUGCGAGAAAUCGUGACCAGGGAACUCCAAGUGCAUGGGGUAAGACCCAUGCUUUUCUUGACUCUAAAUAGGUCUUGGAAUAAGGGGUGGGUAAGGACGGUGCCAGCCGCCGCGGUAAUACCGGCGCCUCAAGUGGUAGUCGCUUUUAUUGGGCCUAAAACGUCCGUAGCCGGUCUGAUACAUUCGUGGGUAAAUCAACCAGCUUAACUGGUUGAAUUCUGCGAGGACGGUCAGACUUGGGACCGGGAGAGGUGUGGGGUACGCUCAGGGUAGGGGUAAAAUCCUGUCAUCCUGAGCGGACCACCUGUUGCGAAGGCGCCACACUAGAACGGAUCCGACGGUCAGGGACGAAGCCUAGGGGCACGAACCGGAUUAGAUACCCGGGUAGUCCUAGGUGUAAACGCUGUGGACUUGAUGUUGGGGGUGCUCCGAGCACUCUCAGUGUCGAAGCGAAGGUGAUAAGUCCACUGCCUGGGAAGUACGGUCGCAAGGCUGAAACUUAAAGGAAUUGGCGGGGGAGCACCGCAACCUGAGGAUUGUGCGGUUUAAUUGGAGUCAACGCCGG